AGGAUCUUGGAGAAAGUGAAAAUAGAUCUGAAAACACAUCUGCCUUCAGAUAGAGACCAAGUAGCUGAAGCUUGCUGGAUUCAGAGGCAGGAGAAAUUGGCCACCAUCCUCACCAGAGAGUCCCUAAGGGGCAGAACCCAAACCUUUGGUGAAGACCAGAGGGAUUUGGGACUAAGAUAUAACCCCUGGAACACCUCAGAUUGGAUGGUUGGAAGUUACUUCAACCUUCAGUUACUUUGUAUUUUGCUGCAAUUUCAUUUUUUCAACCCCCAUAUGAAUACUACAAUGCACAGGAGUAAUUUCCUCCACUCUUCCCCACCCAGGAGAAGGCUGUAUGUAGAAGCUGCUCAGUGCUGAUCUGCUCCUUAUCAGUUAUUAACAUAUACAUGUCUUUGCAAUGAGACAACAAAGGCAACGAGGCAGAAGAAAAAAAAAGUUUAAGUGGUGGUCUGAGGUUUUGCUCACAGUAAGAGAUGAACCAGAGCUCUCUUGUUAUUGAAAUUACUGCUAAAACUCUGUGCUUGGGCCAGGAAAGUCAAAGUCUAGAUGUUCACUUACAGAAAUCAACAUCAGUGCAGGGGAAGCUUGAAACACAUUUUCCUAAAAAAUUCUAAAGAGUAAGAUAGCUCUGGUGCUAUACAUAAGCACAGCUUCUCUGACAUGAACUCCUUCAGCCCAGCUGCAGGUUGGCCACCCUGGACAACUGCAUGGUAACAGAGGUGGAAACUUAGACAUGAGACUGGAGGGAGAAGAAAGCAGAAAGUGGUAACAGCUCUGCUGGGCUGCUGUUUCAUCAGGUACCUGGUGUGCUCUGCAGGGCUGAUGCAGGAAAGGGCUGAAGGUGUAAAGGGACAGUCUGAGCGCAUGCACGCAUGUUUGUGUUUUUGUGUUUGUGUGUGUCUAUUCAAUGGUCCUGAGAACAAAUAUAAUUCUGGGGCAUGAAACAGAAGGAUGAAUAUCAAGCGAGAACAUCCAGCUGCAGGUCCUUUCCCCUUCUUUUUCCAGCUUUUGGAUGAACUGCAAAGCCGACGGGGACUGUUAACUGCCUGGGCCUGUCCAUUUGUCUCUCUCUCUUUACUUCUCUGUCCCUAACUCCCCCUCCCUCUCCCUCCUGCAGCUCCGGAGGGUGGAGGUGCGAUUCGCUAUGCCCGUUUUUUAUUUCCAGCACGCUUGACAGGCUGGGCGAGGAAGGCGUUAAUGUUUUCUGACAGGCCCCCUCUAAUUGUUGGAGCUUUUCUUCUCUGCCUUUUCUGUGAAAUUCUGACUUAGGCGAGCAGCAUAACAAAAUGCUCUGGCAUUGAAAUGUGCGCUUGCACUACACUGGGCUCGGGGAAACAGCAUUAUUCAUGAAGAUUUUCAGCUGUUUUUGUCUUUUAACUAACCUUUGAGUUUGAUCAGAGGCUAGCCGGGCUCCCUUUCUCAAAAGGCAGUCUUGGCAACCCGACAAUGGAGCCAAACUGUUUUCCCUGUUAAAGAGAUAACUAUGCCGUUGAGUUGGUACAUGGGGGAAAUUAAUCUUCAGGCGCAUACAAAUGAUAGCUUUACCUCGCUCUGCAAUCGCCUGCAUGGGAUUAUUGAUAGGACGGGGGUAAGGAGCAGGAGAAAUUCAGGCUGGGGUAAGGAACUUUAAAAAAAAAAAAAAUUUGCAACCCCAAGCCCAUCAUCCCUUUUGAUUGUAUAAAGCCUGCGAUUGAUUCUUCACCACUUGCCUUUUGCAGCAGGAAUUAGCCCCGCAUUGUGCGGCCUGACACGCUAAGAGCCCGCUCGCAUGGGAGCUGAAGUCGCUGGGACAAACCGGGGUGGAGGGGAGAGGAGAGGCAAGCGGGGGUGAGCUGGGGGCGCUUCUCCCCUCUCCCCUUUCCAAGAGGCGAGGAGAGGCGCAGAGUCGUCCCGCACUCCAAGCCGAGCUAAUCCCUGAAUGCACUGAGUAAUACGCGCUGCAUUAUGGUGGAGCGCAGG
Long non-coding RNA from Melospiza melodia melodia, 1959 nucleotides. RefSeq lists it as uncharacterized. NCBI's taxonomy places the organism in Eukaryota, Metazoa, Chordata, Aves, Passeriformes, Passerellidae. The transcript has 3 exons. The record is from RefSeq and is a predicted model, not a curated record.